AAAUGGAUUCGCCCGCUCUCAGCGGUUUUCACCAAGAUUAAGCCAUGCAUGUGUAAGUAUAAACACUUUUGUACUGUGAAACUGCGAAUGGCUCAUUAAAUCAGUU
Molecule: non-coding RNA, 106 nt
Filed under: Marchantia polymorpha subsp. ruderalis
Lineage: Eukaryota; Viridiplantae; Streptophyta; Marchantiopsida; Marchantiales; Marchantiaceae
Description: Eukaryotic small subunit ribosomal RNA
Rfam family: Eukaryotic small subunit ribosomal RNA (bases 26-106)
Source: Rfam by way of RNAcentral